This 582-nucleotide ribosomal RNA is filed under the name uncultured bacterium. RNAcentral describes it as "bacterial SSU rRNA". It matches the Rfam family "Bacterial small subunit ribosomal RNA", at positions 341 to 914 of the family's 1533-position model. The record is from RNAcentral.
ACGGGAGGCAGCAGUAGGGAAUCUUCCACAAUGGGCGAAAGCCUGAUGGAGCAACGCCGCGUGAGUGAAGAAGGAUUUCGGUUCGUAAAACUCUGUUGUAAGGGAAGAACAAGUACAGUAGUAACUGGCUGUACCUUGACGGUACCUUAUUAGAAAGCCACGGCUAACUACGUGCCAGCAGCCGCGGUAAUACGUAGGUGGCAAGCGUUGUCCGGAAUUAUUGGGCGUAAAGCGCGCGCAGGUGGUUUCUUAAGUCUGAUGUGAAAGCCCACGGCUCAACCGUGGAGGGUCAUUGGAAACUGGGAGACUUGAGUGCAGAAGAGGAUAGUGGAAUUCCAAGYGUAGCGGUGAAAUGCGUAGAGAUUUGGAGGAACACCAGUGGCGAAGGCGACUAUCUGGUCUGUAACUGACACUGAGGCGCGAAAGCGUGGGGAGCAAACAGGAUUAGAUACCCUGGUAGUCCAYGCCGUAAACGAUGAGUGCUAAGUGUUAGGGGGUUUCCRCCCCUUAGUGCUGCAGCUAACGCAUUAAGCACUCCGCCUGGGGAGUACGGUCGCAAGACUGAAACUCAAAGGAAUUGAC